Salmo salar (Atlantic salmon) is the source of this 800-nucleotide non-coding RNA. Lineage: Eukaryota; Metazoa; Chordata; Actinopteri; Salmoniformes; Salmonidae. The record is from RefSeq and is a predicted model, not a curated record.
AUUUAAUUAAGAGGUGCACAAACAACAUUUCUCAAGCAUCUUCAAGAAUAUAAAUGGAAAAGUUGAUCUGGAGAUAUUCUAGUUAUGAUUCCAGGCCACAACAAGGUUCAAUAAGUGUCUCUGAGGAGAGAGAGAGAACAGGGGCACUGUCUCUAAAAUGAAUCUCUCUGGGGAACAUCAACCAACACAAAAGCUAAAAGCCCAAUGCAGCAGGAAACCAGACUCACCUGUUCCCAGCUGUGUCCAUGAAGAGUGACCAGUCUAUGGGACGACCAGACAUAUUCACAAAGGGAGAAGGUUCUACUGAACAAAGGUAUGAGGGCUGUAUUUUAUGUAAAAUAUUCCCAUAUGAAAUUCAUGAACGUGCAGGUUUGGGGAGUAACUGAUUACAUGUAAUCUGAUUACCCAAAAAACUGUAACUGUAAUCAGUUACAUUACCAGCUAAAAUGUUGUAAUCAGAUUACAGAUACUUUUGAAAAACUAGAUGAUUACUUCUUGGAUUACUUUUAAAUUCAGAAAGGAUUGCGGAAAAAUACAUUAUGUCACUUUUCUGUUUUCUUAAUGUCAUUCAAUUCGGGAUUGAAAAAAGGUGCAAGUUUAAAUUUGAGUGAGUCUGACCACAAGUCUGAGACUACUAUGUUGACACACCAAACCCGUUUGAUGGAUCCUUUUUGUCUUCUUCUAAUGCCUCUCAAGGAGAAAGUAAUACAAAAAUAAUCAGAUUGAGUUACUGAGUUUGGGUAAUCCAAAAGUUCCAUUACUGAUUACAAUUUUGGACAGGUACACUACCGUUCAAAAGU